Molecule: unclassified non-coding RNA, 329 nt
Filed under: soil metagenome
Description: partial contains 5.8S ribosomal RNA, internal transcribed spacer 2, and large subunit ribosomal RNA
Rfam family: 5.8S ribosomal RNA (bases 1-120)
Source: RNAcentral
GAUGAAGAACGCAGCGAAAUGCGAUAAGUAAUGUGAAUUGCAGAAUUCAGUGAAUCAUCGAAUCUUUGAACGCACAUUGCGCCCUCUGGUAUUCCGGGGGGCAUGCCUGUUCGAGCGUCAUUAUAACCACUCAAGCUCUCGCUUGGUAUUGGGGUUCGCGGUUUCGCGGCCCCUAAAAUCAGUGGCGGCGCCUGUCGGCUCUACGCGUAGUAAUACUUCUCGCGAUUGAGUUCGAUAGGUCUACUUGCCAGUAACCCCCAAUUUUUACAGGUUGACCUCGGAUCAGGUAGGGAUACCCGCUGAACUUAAGCAUAUCAAUAAGCGGAGGA